This 124-nucleotide ribosomal RNA is filed under the name uncultured bacterium. RNAcentral describes it as "partial 16S ribosomal RNA". It matches the Rfam family "Bacterial small subunit ribosomal RNA", at positions 338 to 479 of the family's 1533-position model. The record is from RNAcentral.
CCUACGGGAGGCAGCAGUGGGGAAUAUUGCACAAUGGACGAAAGUCUGAUGCAGCAACGCCGCGUGGAGGAUGACACAUUUCGGUGCGUAAACUCCUUUUAUAUAAGAAGAUAAUGACGGUAUU